Molecule: ribosomal RNA, 253 nt
Filed under: uncultured bacterium
Lineage: Bacteria
Description: partial 16S ribosomal RNA
Rfam family: Bacterial small subunit ribosomal RNA
Source: RNAcentral
UACGUAGGGUGCGAGCGUUAUUCGGAUUUAUUGGGCGUAAAGAGCGUGUAGGCGGCCAGAUAGGUCAGCUGUGAAAACUCGAGGCUCAACCUCGAGACGUCGGUUGAAACCAUCUGGCUAGAGUCCGGAAGAGGAGAGUGGAAUUCCCGGUGUAGCGGUGAAAUGCGCAGAUAUCGGGAAGAACACCCGUGGCGAAGGCGGCUCUCUGGGACGGUACUGACGCUGAGACGCGAAAGCGUGGGGAGCGAACAGG